UCCAGACUCCUACGGGAGGCAGCAGUGGGGAAUAUUGCACAAUGGGCGAAAGCCUGAUGCAGCGACGCCGCGUGAGUGAAGAAGUAUUUCGGUAUGUAAAGCUCUAUCAGCAGGGAAGAAAAUGACGGUACCUGACUAAGAAGCCCCGGCUAACUACGUGCCAGCAGCCGCGGUAAUACGUAGGAUGCGAGCGUUAUCCGGAUUUAUUGGGUUUAAAGGGUGCGCAGGCGGUCUGUUAAGUCAGCGGUCAAAGCCCGGGGCUCAACCCCGGUCCGCCGUUGAAACUGGCAGUCUCGAGUUGGAGAGAAGUAUGCGGAAUGCGCGGUGUAGCGGUGAAAUGCAUAGAUAUCGCGCAGAACUCCGAUUGCGAAGGCAGCAUGCCGGCUCCACACUGACGCUGAGGCACGAAAGCGUGGGUAUCGAACAGGAUUAGAUACCCGAGUA
Molecule: ribosomal RNA, 444 nt
Filed under: uncultured bacterium
Lineage: Bacteria
Description: bacterial SSU rRNA
Rfam family: Bacterial small subunit ribosomal RNA
Source: RNAcentral